AUUGAACGCUGGCGGCAUGCCUUACACAUGCAAGUCGAACGGCAGCACGGGAGCAAUCCUGGUGGCGAGUGGCGAACGGGUGAGUAAUGUAUCGGAACGGGCCCAGUCGUGGGGGAUAACGUAGCGAAAGCUCCGCUAAUACUGCAUACGAUCUGUUGAUGAAAGCGGGGGACCGUAAGGCCUCGCGCGGUUGGGUCGGCCGAUAUCAGAUUAGGUAGUUGGUGGGGUAAAGGCCUACCAAGCCGACGAUCUGUAGCUGGUCUGAGAGGACGACCAGCCACACUGGGACUGAGACACGGCCCAGACUCCUACGGGAGGCAGCAGUGGGGAAUUUUGGACAAUGGGCGCAAGCCUGAUCCAGCAAUGCCGCGUGCAGGAUGAAGGCCUUCGGGUUGUAAACUGCUUUUGUACGGAGCGAAAAGGCUCUCUCUAAUACAGGGGGCUCAUGACGGCACCGUAAGAAUAAGCACCGGCUAACUACGUGCCAGCCGCCGCAGUAA
RNAcentral lists this ribosomal RNA (500 nucleotides) under uncultured bacterium. Its description in RNAcentral is "partial 16S ribosomal RNA". It matches the Rfam family "Bacterial small subunit ribosomal RNA", at positions 30 to 523 of the family's 1533-position model. The record is from RNAcentral.